GUGCCAGCAGCCGCGGUAAUACGGAGGGUGCAAGCGUUAAUCGGAAUUACUGGGCGUAAAGCGCAUGCAGGCGGUUUGUUAAGCGAGAUGUGAAAGCCCCGGGCUCAACCUGGGAACUGCAUUUCGAACUGGCAAACUAGAGUUCUUGAGAGGGUGGUAGAAUUUCAGGUGUAGCGGUGAAAUGCGUAGAGAUCUGAAGGAAUACCAGUGGCGAAGGCGGCCACCUGGCAAGUAACUGACGCUCAGAUGCGAAAGCGUGGGUAGCAAACGGGAUUAGAUACCCCGGUAGUCCACGCCGUAAACGAUGUCUACUCGGAGUUUGGUUCCUUGAGAACUGGGCUCUUAAGCUAACGCAUUAAGUAGACCGCCUGGGGAGUACGGCCGCAAGGUUAAA
This 394-nucleotide ribosomal RNA is filed under the name uncultured bacterium. RNAcentral describes it as "bacterial SSU rRNA". It matches the Rfam family "Bacterial small subunit ribosomal RNA", at positions 505 to 898 of the family's 1533-position model. The record is from RNAcentral.